UGUUGCAUCUUGUGUCUAUAAAAUGAGCUGCUCUUAAUGCGUAGAUAAAUCCUUUCUACUGCAUUUAAAAAAAAGAUAUACUGUUAGCCAUGGAGAACUGCAAAUAUGUUGCUACUGCUCUCAAUAACAUUGUUGCCCUGAAUUUAUCAGGCAUUAUUGACAAAGGUCACUGAAAAAGUUGUGAUGGACUACUUUCUGGACGACGAAUGCUGACUCUCUCUCACUCUGAAAAUAACAUGUUUUGAAAUCAGUGGAACACAACGGGCCAAACAAGUUGUGCAAACUAAACGGAAACAACACAGGAUGUCUUAUAAAAGGGGUUGCAGUCUGCCGUAAAGCUUUCAUCCAUCAUCAAUCACUCAUCAUCAUAAUCCACCAGUCAUACAGUCAUCAAAAAGAAAGCUAGCACAAGCAAGCAAAGGCAGCAGCGCAGUCAUCAACUACAUGCACCAUUUCCUCACCAACUACGGAGUUGGGAAUAUUCGUGUGGACCUGUUUUGUGAUAACUGCAGUGGCCAAAACAAGAACAGGUUUGUGCCUGGUGGACCAUGCCCAAGCUCCACUACAAUCUGGACCUUCACUUCCUGAUCACAGGCCAGACCAAGUUUUCCCCCGACUGCUGCUUCGGCCUCAUCAAGCAGCGCUUCAGAAAGACCAGAGGAAAACACGUUAUCUGAGAUUGCUGAUGUUGUGAAGGACAGCACUGUGAUAGAGGUCAACAUCACACAGCUGGUUGGACUGGAGGAUGGUACGGUGCUGGUGGAAAGCUAUGGCUGGCAACAACACCUGACUCUGUACUUCAGGCCGCUGCCACAGAUCAAGCAGUACCAGCACUUCAGCUUCAAUGCUCUGGAGCCUGGUGUCGUUGCCAGGGAGCGUUCGGACUGUCGGGACCAGGUUUCAGCUGCUGCGCAACGCUAACAUCCUUCCUCCCAUAAAUGAUUUGCCCUUAAAAGCACCACCUGGAAUGGACACAGCUAGACAAACUAUAUUUUUGACAAGAUCAGGGAGUUUUCCGAUGAAGAGGCUAUGGACAUCACAUGCCCUGCACCAAAGUCAAGGACAGGACAGAAACAGGCUCUCCGAAUAGAUUCCCUUGUUCAUGCGUGGUUUGGACGGACCAGUCAUCAGCACUAUCUGCAGUGUCUCUAUUCACAUGACUCUCUCCUAAACACACACACCAUAAGUUGCUGCUACUAUUUUUUUGUUUAUCUCACUGCUCAGCCACUUUACCCUGAAUUGCAUGCAUAUAACUAUCUCAUCUAUCACUGAUAUCAUUAUUGAUAUUGUUCUUGUACAUACUGUAUAUUUUAUUUAUAUGGACACUAUCUUUUUCUGAUAUUGCUACAAUGCAAGUAACCAUUUGGCUGUACCUUUUACACCUUCUGAAGAGACCAUCCAGUUAGCAAGACUGAGCAAAAUAUUGAUAGAUAAAAUUAAUAUUGAUGUGUGGUCGUAUCAAUUUGCAGUGUAUAAAUUUGUAAUUAUGUUCUGG
Molecule: long non-coding RNA, 1495 nt
Organism: Oncorhynchus gorbuscha (pink salmon)
Lineage: Eukaryota; Metazoa; Chordata; Actinopteri; Salmoniformes; Salmonidae
Exons: 3
Source: RefSeq, a predicted model, not a curated record